RNAcentral lists this ribosomal RNA (465 nucleotides) under uncultured bacterium. RNAcentral describes it as "partial 16S ribosomal RNA". It matches the Rfam family "Bacterial small subunit ribosomal RNA", at positions 338 to 795 of the family's 1533-position model. The record is from RNAcentral.
CCUACGGGAGGCAGCAGUAGGGAAUCUUCCACAAUGGGCGAAAGCCUGAUGGAGCAACGCCGCGUGGGUGAAGAAGGUCUUCGGAUCGUAAAACCCUGUUGUUAGAGAAGAAAGUGCGUGAGAGUAACUGUUCACGUUUCGACGGUAUCUAACCAGAAAGCCACGGCUAACUACGUGCCAGCAGCCGCGGUAAUACGUAGGUGGCAAGCGUUAUCCGGAUUUAUUGGGCGUAAAGGGAACGCAGGCGGUCUUUUAAGUCUGAUGUGAAAGCCUUCGGCUUAACCGGAGUAGUGCAUUGGAAACUGGGAGACUGGAGUGCAGAAGAGGAGAGUGGAACUCCAUGGGUAGCGGUGAAAUGCGUAGAUAUAUGGAAGAACACCAGUGGCGAAAGCGGCUCUCUGGUCUGUAACUGACGCUGAGGUUCGAAAGCGUGGGUAGCAAACAGGAUUAGAUACCCGAGUAGUC